AGGUAAGGGGACAGACAAUUGAUAAAAUCAUCUCAGUGUCAGAAGAGCUUGACCAUAUUUACAGGGUCAAAACUAUCCACAGCUCAGAGGAAAAGGAGGCUCAAAGGAGAAAGGGGUUUGUUUCUCUAAGUGUAAAAACCCCAUAACCCCUAUGGGAUGUGAGAGCUGUGGGCUAGCUGGCUUUCUGCACCUGGGGCCUGCAGGCCUGUGGGACUGGCUGAGGUACUCAGAAAGCUGGUCUCAGAUGUCCACAUGGCAGAUGAGGACUCUGCCCCCGACAAGCAACUGAGAUAAACACGGGACAGAUACAUGGGAAGUUUGCAGCCUGCAACCUCAAAGAGAGCCUUCACCAGAACUCGAGCAUGCUGGCACCCUAUUCUCAGAUCCACAGCCUCCAGAAACAUGAGAAAUAAAUUUCUACUUUUACUGGCUUUGUCUUGGAAAAUCCUGUGGCUGGCAUGGUGACGGGGCCCACCAGAAACACAGGGCAAUUGUGGCUGGUGCAGUGCUGU
Molecule: long non-coding RNA, 512 nt
Organism: Homo sapiens (human)
Lineage: Eukaryota; Metazoa; Chordata; Mammalia; Primates; Hominidae
Exons: 3
Source: RefSeq, a predicted model, not a curated record